RNAcentral lists this transfer RNA (66 nucleotides) under Choroterpides apiculata (nomen nudum). RNAcentral's name for it is "tRNA-Asp". The record is from RNAcentral. Lineage: Eukaryota; Metazoa; Arthropoda; Insecta; Diptera; Culicidae.
AAGAUUUUAGUUAAUAUAUAACUUUAGUAUGUCACGCUAAUAUAAUCUAAUUAUAGAUAAAUCUUA